GAUUGACGCUGAGGCACGAAAGCGUGGGGAUCAAACAGGAUUAGAUACCCUGGUAGUCCACGCAGUAAACGAUGAUAACUAACCGCUGGUUCUUUAGCGGAUCAGUGGCCAAGCGAAAGCGAUAAGUUAUCCACCUGGGGAGUACGACCGCAAGGUUGAAACUCAAAGGAAUUGACGGGGGCCCGCACAAGCGGAGGAACAUGUGGUUUAAUUCGAUGAUACGCGAGGAACCUUACCCGGGCUCGAACGGUACAGGAAGAGAUCAGGAGACUGUGACGUCCUUCGGGACCUGUAUCGAGGUGCUGCAUGGUUGUCGUCAGCUCGUGCCGUGAGGUGUCGGCUCAAGUGCCAUAACGAGCGCAACCCUUGCCGUCAGUUACCAUCAAGUUGCGUUGGGGACUCUGACGGGACUGCCACCGCAAGGUGUGAGGAAGGGGGGGAUGACGUCAAAUCAGCACGGCCCUUACGUCCGGGGCGACACACGUGUUACAAUGGGAGUUACAGAAGGUACCUACCUGGUGACAGGAUGGCAAUCUAAAAAAGCUCUCUCAGUCCGGAUCGGAGUCUGCAACCCGACUCCGUGAAGCUGGAUUCGCUAGU
This 600-nucleotide ribosomal RNA is filed under the name uncultured bacterium. RNAcentral's name for it is "bacterial SSU rRNA". It matches the Rfam family "Bacterial small subunit ribosomal RNA", at positions 738 to 1339 of the family's 1533-position model. The record is from RNAcentral.